Molecule: ribosomal RNA, 411 nt
Filed under: Verrucomicrobiota bacterium
Lineage: Bacteria; Pseudomonadati; Verrucomicrobiota
Description: Verrucomicrobia bacterium partial 16S ribosomal RNA
Rfam family: Bacterial small subunit ribosomal RNA
Source: RNAcentral
UGGGGAAUUUUGCACAAUGGGGGAAACCCUGAUGCAGCGACGCCGCGUGCGGGAUGAAGGCCUUCGGGUUGUAAACCGCUUUUGAUUGGGAGCAAGCUUUCGGGUGAGUGUACCUUUCGAAUAAGCGCCGGCUAACUACGUGCCAGCAGCCGCGGUAAUACGUAGGGCGCAAGCGUUAUCCGGAAUUAUUGGGCGUAAAGAGCUUGUAGGCGGUUCGUCGCGUCUGGUGUGAAAGCCCAUCGCUUAACGGUGGGUUUGCGCCGGGUACGGGCGGGCUAGAGUGCAGUAGGGGAGACUGGAAUUCCCGGUGUAACGGUGGAAUGUGUAGAUAUCGGGAAGAACACCAAUGGCGAAGGCAGGUCUCUGGGCUGUUACUGACGCUGAGAAGCGAAAGCGUGGGGAGCGAACAGG